This 86-nucleotide transfer RNA is filed under the name uncultured archaeon. RNAcentral describes it as "tRNA-Leu(gag)". It matches the Rfam family "tRNA". From Rfam's summary of the family: Transfer RNA (tRNA) molecules are approximately 80 nucleotides in length. The record is from RNAcentral.
GAGGGAGUGGCAGAGCUUGGUCAAAUGCGCAGGAUUGAGGUUCCUGUUCCUUUGUGGAUGCCUGGGUUCAAAUCCCAGCUCCCUCA